RNAcentral lists this unclassified non-coding RNA (431 nucleotides) under soil metagenome. RNAcentral describes it as "partial contains 5.8S ribosomal RNA, internal transcribed spacer 2, and large subunit ribosomal RNA". The stretch from base 1 to 120 matches the Rfam family "5.8S ribosomal RNA", at positions 35 to 154 of the family's 154-position model. The record is from RNAcentral.
GAUGAAGAACGCAGCGAAAUGCGAUACGUAAUGUGAAUUGCAGAAUUCAGUGAAUCAUCGAAUCUUUGAACGCACAUUGCACUCUCUGGUAUUCCGGAGAGUAUGCUUGUUUGAGUAUCUGUAAACAUCUCAAAUCUCUCUUCAAUUGCUUCAAUUGGGUCGAGAGAAUUGGAUUUGAGCGAUCCCGACUCCUUCGUCAGAAAGAGGAGGGUCGCUUGAAAUGCAGGUGCAGCUGGACAUUCUUCUGAGCAAAAAGCAUAUCUAUUUAGUCCCGUCAAACGGAUUAUUACUUUUGCUUCAGCUAAUAUAAAGGUUGAAUGAACUACCAACGCUGAUUGCAGGAAAACAUGUUCGUUUAUUCGGACUUGUAAACUCGAUCUCAAAUCAAGUAAGACUACCCGCUGAACUUAAGCAUAUCAGUAAGCGGAGGA